This 68-nucleotide transfer RNA is filed under the name Marmota monax (woodchuck). It matches the Rfam family "tRNA". Rfam says of the family: Transfer RNA (tRNA) molecules are approximately 80 nucleotides in length. Their secondary structure includes four short double-helical elements and three loops (D, anti-codon, and T loops). Further hydrogen bonds mediate the characteristic L-shaped molecular structure. tRNAs have two regions of fundamental functional importance: the anti-codon, which is responsible for specific mRNA codon recognition, and the 3' end, to which the tRNAs corresponding amino acid is attached (by aminoacyl-tRNA synthetases). tRNAs cope with the degeneracy of the genetic code in two manners: having more than one tRNA (with a specific anti-codon) for a particular amino acid; and 'wobble' base-pairing, i.e. permitting non-standard base-pairing at the 3rd anti-codon position. The record is from Rfam by way of RNAcentral. Lineage: Eukaryota; Metazoa; Chordata; Mammalia; Rodentia; Sciuridae.
GCUGUGGCUCAGUGGCAGAGCACUUGCCUGGCAUGUGUAAGGCACUGAGUUUGAUCCUCAGCACAGCA